CUAAAUAUUGUAAGGUAACCUUGCCAAUGCUCCAUGAAAUUGAGGCAGACUUGUAUUACUGGUUUUGUCUGAAAGUUAUGUGAAUUCCUAUUUAUACCGACUGAUCUUUUUACUUCAUCAUUCUUAUCCUAUUGUUGUGUACUGUACAGUAGGUGAAGUUAAGGUUGUUGCUGAUAUGCAUAAAAGGAAUGCUGAGACGGCUAGGCAUUCCGAUGCUUUUAUUGCCUUACCAGCCUUGUCUCCCAUCCUCAAUAACGACCAGAGCUACCGAAAGCAUGAAAGCGUCUGGUCAUUAGGGUCUCUGCUCACCCCUGCUCGAAUUUCUCAUCAAUUGGAGAGUUUACAUGGUCGUGAGUUGCUUUAUCAGGGAAAAUCAAUUUGAUGAAUGUGGCAUCAUCUAUUGUCUUUCACGAAUGGACUGUGAAAAGGUCACUGAAAAGUUACAGGAUCAUUGCAGCUUUUCUCACAGUACUAGAAAAGUUUUCUAAUGUAGUUAUUGGGUGGUUGCCCAUGUAUGGAGAAUUGAAGCUUGCCUUAUUCAUAUUCAUGUGGUAUCCCAAAACUCAGGCCUAGAGGCGGUCGAGGUGGAGGUCCUGCCUUGCUGAAUCGUGGCGCUGGAAAAAAAUCUCUUUUUAAAGCAGUCACAACAGUCACAGGAGGAGGAUUCACGUUUAGCUGGAGAGCAGUCAGAGGAGGAUUCACGUUUAGCUCGAGAGCAGUCACAGGAGGAUUCACGUUUAGCUCGAGAGCAGUCACAACAGUCAUAGGAGGAUUUGCGAUUGCUCCGAGAGUGGUUCCAGAAAUUCAUGGAGUCUUUUACACAAGGCCAUUUGCAUCUACCUCCUUAUCGACCUCAUCGUUCGAGUUAGGACUAACAUCUGUGUCCACCUACUUGAUUAUUUAUCAUAUUAUUUUGAAAAUUUGAUUAUAACUUUUAGUUU
RNA transcript from Medicago truncatula (barrel medic), 941 nucleotides. RefSeq lists it as uncharacterized. The transcript has 6 exons. NCBI's taxonomy places the organism in Eukaryota, Viridiplantae, Streptophyta, Magnoliopsida, Fabales, Fabaceae. The record is from RefSeq and is a predicted model, not a curated record.